UACGUAGGGGGCAAGCGUUGUCCGGAUUUAUUGGGCGUAAAGAGCGUGUAGGCGGCCAGAUAGGUCGGUUGUGAAAACUGGAGGCUUAACCUUCAGACGUCGACCGAAACCAUUUGGCUAGAGUCCGGAAGAGGAGAAUGGAAUUCCUGGUGUAGCGGUGAAAUGCGCAGAUAUCAGGAAGAACACCCGUGGCUAAGGCGGUUCUCUAGUACGGUACUGACGCUGAGACGCGAAAGCGUGGGGAGCAAACAGG
This 253-nucleotide ribosomal RNA is filed under the name uncultured prokaryote. Its description in RNAcentral is "partial 16S ribosomal RNA". It matches the Rfam family "Bacterial small subunit ribosomal RNA", at positions 524 to 776 of the family's 1533-position model. The record is from RNAcentral.